RNAcentral lists this unclassified non-coding RNA (332 nucleotides) under soil metagenome. RNAcentral describes it as "partial contains 5.8S ribosomal RNA, internal transcribed spacer 2, and large subunit ribosomal RNA". The stretch from base 1 to 120 matches the Rfam family "5.8S ribosomal RNA", at positions 35 to 154 of the family's 154-position model. The record is from RNAcentral.
GAUGAAGAACGUAGCAAAAUGCGAUAAGUAAUGUGAAUUGCAGAAUUCAGUGAAUCAUCGAAUCUUUGAACGCACAUUGCGCCCGCCAGUAUUCUGGCGGGCAUGCCUGUUCGAGCGUCAUUUCAACCCUCAAGCACAGCUUGGUGUUGGGACUCGCGUUAAUUCGCGUUCCCCAAAUUGAUUGGCGGUCACGUCGAGCUUCCAUAGCGUAGUAGUGAAACCCUCGUUACUGGUAAUCGUCGCGGCCACGCCGUUAAACCCCAACUUCUGAAUGUUGACCUCGGAUCAGGUAGGAAUACCCGCUGAACUUAAGCAUAUCAAUAAGCGGAGGA